RNAcentral lists this ribosomal RNA (478 nucleotides) under uncultured organism. Its description in RNAcentral is "partial 16S ribosomal RNA". It matches the Rfam family "Bacterial small subunit ribosomal RNA", at positions 332 to 801 of the family's 1533-position model. The record is from RNAcentral.
UACACUCCUGCGGGAGGCAUCAGUGGGGAAUUUUGGACAAUGGGCGAAAGCCUGAUCCAGCAAUGCCGCGUGAGUGAAGAAGGCCUUCGGGUUGUAAAGCUCUUUUGUCAGGGAAGAAACGGUGAAAGCUAAUAUCUUUUGCUAAUGACGGUACCUGAAGAAUAAGCACCGGCUAACUACGUGCCAGCAGCCGCGGUAAUACGUAGGGUGCAAGCGUUAAUCGGAAUUACUGGGCGUAAAGCGUGCGCAGGCGGUUUUGUAAGUCUGAUGUGAAAUCCCCGGGCUCAACCUGGGAAUUGCAUUGGAGACUGCAAGGCUAGAAUCUGGCAGAGGGGGGUAGAAUUCCACGUGUAGCAGUGAAAUGCGUAGAUAUGUGGAGGAACACCGAUGGCGAAGGCAGCCCCCUGGGUCAAGAUUGACGCUCAUGCACGAAAGCGUGGGGAGCAAACAGGAUUAGAUACCCGUGUAGUCCCAUGAU